AUACGGAGGAUCCGAGCGUUAUCCGGAUUUAUUGUGUUUAAAGGGUGCGCAGGCGGCCAUUUAAGUCAGCGGUUAAAUCGUGGGGCUCAACCCCAUUCUGCCGUUGAUACUGGGUGGCUUGAUUGCGGUCGAGGUUGGCGGAAUUCGUUGUGUAGCGGUGAAAUGCAUAGAUAUGACGAAGAACACCGAUUGCGUAGGCAGCUGACCAGACCGCAAAUGACGCUCAUGCACGAAAGUGCGGGGAUCGAACAGGAUUAGAUACCCUGGUAGUCCGCACAGUAAACGAUGAAUACUUGUUUUCGGCGAUAUAAUGUCGGAGGCAAAGCGAAAGCGAUAAGUAUUCCACCUGGGGAGUACGCCGGCAACGGUGAAACUUAAAGGAAUUGACGGGG
RNAcentral lists this ribosomal RNA (392 nucleotides) under uncultured bacterium. RNAcentral's name for it is "partial 16S ribosomal RNA". It matches the Rfam family "Bacterial small subunit ribosomal RNA", at positions 523 to 918 of the family's 1533-position model. The record is from RNAcentral.